Molecule: ribosomal RNA, 274 nt
Filed under: uncultured bacterium
Lineage: Bacteria
Description: partial 16S ribosomal RNA
Rfam family: Bacterial small subunit ribosomal RNA
Source: RNAcentral
AUACGGAGGGUGCAAGCGUUAAUCGGAAUUACUGGGCGUAAAGCGCGCGUAGGCGGUUUAGUCAGUCAGAUGUGAAAGCCCCGGGCUUAACCUGGGAACUGCAUUUGAUACUGCUGAACUAGAGUAUGGUAGAGGGAAGUGGAAUUCCGGGUGUAGCGGUGAAAUGCGUAGAUAUCCGGAGGAACACCAGUGGCGAAGGCGACUUCCUGGACCAAUACUGACGCUGAGGUGCGAAAGCGUGGGUAGCAAACAGGAUUAGAAACCCUUGUAGUCC